This is a long non-coding RNA of Rhincodon typus (whale shark), 312 nucleotides long. RefSeq lists it as uncharacterized. The transcript has 3 exons. The record is from RefSeq and is a predicted model, not a curated record. Lineage: Eukaryota; Metazoa; Chordata; Chondrichthyes; Orectolobiformes; Rhincodontidae.
AGACACAUCAUGCAGUUCCUGAAAUAGCUAAGUUGCGCACUGUUCCUCAACUAGACACAUUGAGGGCUGUCAUAACCUGCCAUCAGCCAGAACCAGACCUGUAUAGGUUUGUUGGCCAAAUUAGAAUCCAACAAAAUUCAAACAACAUAGUGAGACCUCUGGGACCAGAAAAUCUUCUACUUAGAGGAGCAAGUUUGAAAAAUACAAAUGAAGUUUACGGUACAAAGAUUUGUUUCUGCCAAUUUGUAUCCACUCAACUGAAUAAAAUUUCUUUUGCCUACUGUCUUCGUGAAUUUUGCAGUAAAAGAAACU